Molecule: long non-coding RNA, 353 nt
Filed under: Homo sapiens (human)
Lineage: Eukaryota; Metazoa; Chordata; Mammalia; Primates; Hominidae
Description: non-protein coding lnc-TAF7-6:10
Source: RNAcentral
GACUUCAGGUAGUCUCGGUCUUAGCGGAUUCCGCGGACUUUCUUGUCUUUCUGCGUACUGCACUAACUGAGCGACCAAUUGAUACCUAAGUUUAGCUGAACUUUUUGUUGAAUUAAUUAAAACUGUUUUGAAAUCUAUUCUGUAAGAGCCUGAGAAAAAUUGCGGCCACAGAAGCUGUUUUGAAAUGCGCUUGGCUUCCGACUUCCGCAAGGGGAGGCAGCUGUUUCUUGUAGUCUUGCUCUGUCACCUACACUGGAAUUCAGUGGCACAGUCUCAGCUCAGCUCACUGCAACCUCCACCUCCCGGGUUCAAGUGAUUCUCAUACCUCAGCCUCCUGAGUAGCUGGGAUUACA